This 1527-nucleotide long non-coding RNA is filed under the name Phasianus colchicus (ring-necked pheasant). RNAcentral's name for it is "lncRNA (ENSPCLG00000011239.1)". The record is from RNAcentral. Lineage: Eukaryota; Metazoa; Chordata; Aves; Galliformes; Phasianidae.
CUUGUAGAUUAUUAAGUCUAUAUUUAAUUUGCGGUGGUUUACACAGCCCCCAAAAUAAUACCUACUGCCUCCCACAGAGAGGGAGGAAAGAUGUGUGGUCUGCACCCUGACCAGCAGGGGAUGGGUUCCCACAGCAUCCAAUGCACUUCUGUGCAAGGAAGAGCAGAUCCAGUGGCUGCCUCUUCUCUGAGGUGAGGGUGCAAAAUUUGUGUCAAUUAACCCUUCCUGCAGGGCCAUACAGCUAGGAGUGGCAGCUGUGAUCUGGGAUGGGAAAUGAUGAGAUGGAAUCAACAGCGGAAAGCAAUUGUGUUGGCAUCUGAUGGGUUAAGUUUAGGUGUAGCUCGUCACAGCCAUGAGCCCCAUGGUUUGAGGACAAGGAUCAUUCACUCAGUGCAGCACACAAAGCACCACUGAACUUCAUGCCAUCCUCCAGGCAAGCCCUGGGGAGCUAUGGUCUCAACAGCUAGUUAACAACUAGUUAAAGGGAACAAUGCAACUCCAACUUCCCCUUGAGAACUGUGUUAAAUGCGGACAAAUGACCCAGCAACACGUUCAGAGACAUGGGAUACCACCAAGAAGGGGUGGUUGUGCGUCCUUCCUGCUCUGACAGACUGCGCUGAAGAAAUAUUUCUUCUAGACAGUGGCAACGUUAUCAGCUUGGUCAUCCUUGUGAGAUUUCUAGUAUCUGUGGGUAUGUGCAAAGAAACACUUCACAAAGCAAGUUCCUCUUUGGGGAUCAUGGGAUUCGAAGCGCAUUCUGCGGCUCUUGACGUUCACAUCUGUUGGUUGUAUGUUUGAAGUUCCAGUUUGGACCUGCUCUGGGCUCAGAUAAAAGAGGAAGAACAUGAUGUUGUCCUAAAGGAGGGUGCUGGCAUGAAACCACAGGCGGUCACUUGUGGCUGUGAGCUUUGCUUUGUCCCUGUCAGAAAAGGGAGGAGGAGGAGAGCAAUUCUGGGGAGCUGCAGGACUCCAGGUUUCUCAGACAACUCCUUCUCAAGCCACAGUGCAUAGAACAAUAUUAUCAUUGGUGAUAGAGGUGGGUGUCAUCAAGUCUUGGUGGCACAUUGUUAAAUAUGCAUUAAACUGCGCAGGCUCAAAAUCUUCCUCUCUCCAGAACGUUUCUGUUGGGCUAUUUUGGAGAUGAAAUGUUUUCUCCCUCAGUUAGGGCUGUAAGAUCCCUGCUCAGGGUCUGGUGCUUUGCUCCCUGGGCUAAGUCCCUCUGCACAGCAGUGCUGCUGUUCAUCCAGCAGCCACAUUUCCUGGGCUUGGGCACAGCCUCAUCCCUUCUGCCAUCACAGUGAAAAGUGGAUAGGGAAAACUGAGCGUAAACUGGCUGAUAUUUUUGCCGAGUACAGGCUGACUUAAUUUUGGAAACAGAGGCACGACAGCACUUGCGAUGCCAAGAAAGCCUUUCUGAAGUGAAAGUAUAUCCUUUAUUUUUCCACUGUGUUUUUUUUCAUGAUCCCUCCGCAGAUGAAAAUGUCGGUGUUAAAUAAAAAUGAGAGCAAGUCACUUGGUUGACUCUUA